UUAAGCGACUAAGCGUACACGGUGGAUGCCCUGGCAGUCAGAGGCGAUGAAGGACGUGCUAAUCUGCGAUAAGCGUCGGUAAGGUGAUAUGAACCGUUAUAACCGGCGAUUUCCGAAUGGGGAAACCCAGUGUGAUUCGUCACACUAUCAUUAACUGAAUCCAUAGGUUAAUGAGGCGAACCGGGGGAACUGAAACAUCUAAGUACCCCGAGGAAAAGAAAUCAACCGAGAUUCCCCCAGUAGCGGCGAGCGAACGGGGAGGAGCCCAGAGCCUGAAUCAGUGUGUGUGUUAGUGGAAGCGUCUGGAAAGGCGCGCGAUACAGGGUGACAGCCCCGUACACAAAAAUGCACAUGCUGUGAGCUCGAUGAGUAGGGCGGGACACGUGGUAUCCUGUCUGAAUAUGGGGGGACCAUCCUCCAAGGCUAAAUACUCCUGACUGACCGAUAGUGAACCAGUACCGUGAGGGAAAGGCGAAAAGAACCCCGGCGAGGGGAGUGAAAAAGAACCUGAAACCGUGUACGUACAAGCAGUGGGAGCCUCUUAAUGGGGUGACUGCGUACCUUUUGUAUAAUGGGUCAGCGACUUAUAUUCUGUAGCAAGGUUAACCGAAUAGGGGAGCCGAAGGGAAACCGAGUCUUAACUGGGCGUUAAGUUGCAGGGUAUAGACCCGAAACCCGGUGAUCUAGCCAUGGGCAGGUUGAAGGUUGGGUAACACUAACUGGAGGACCGAACCGACUAAUGUUGAAAAAUUAGCGGAUGACUUGUGGCUGGGGGUGAAAGGCCAAUCAAACCGGGAGAUAGCUGGUUCUCCCCGAAAGCUAUUUAGGUAGCGCCUCGUGAAUUCAUCUCCGGGGGUAGAGCACUGUUUCGGCAAGGGGGUCAUCCCGACUUACCAACCCGAUGCAAACUGCGAAUACCGGAGAAUGUUAUCACGGGAGACACACGGCGGGUGCUAACGUCCGUCGUGAAGAGGGAAACAACCCAGACCGCCAGCUAAGGUCCCAAAGUCAUGGUUAAGUGGGAAACGAUGUGGGAAGGCCCAGACAGCCAGGAUGUUGGCUUAGAAGCAGCCAUCAUUUAAAGAAAGCGUAAUAGCUCACUGGUCGAGUCGGCCUGCGCGGAAGAUGUAACGGGGCUAAACCAUGCACCGAAGCUGCGGCAGCGACACUAUGUGUUGUUGGGUAGGGGAGCGUUCUGUAAGCCUGUGAAGGUGGCCUGUGAGGGUUGCUGGAGGUAUCAGAAGUGCGAAUGCUGACAUAAGUAACGAUAAAGCGGGUGAAAAGCCCGCUCGCCGGAAGACCAAGGGUUCCUGUCCAACGUUAAUCGGGGCAGGGUGAGUCGACCCCUAAGGCGAGGCCGAAAGGCGUAGUCGAUGGGAAACAGGUUAAUAUUCCUGUACUUGGUGUUACUGCGAAGGGGGGACGGAGAAGGCUAUGUUGGCCGGGCGACGGUUGUCCCGGUUUAAGCGUGUAGGCUGGUUUUCCAGGCAAAUCCGGAAAACCAAGGCUGAGGCGUGAUGACGAGGCACUACGGUGCUGAAGUGACAAAUGCCCUGCUUCCAGGAAAAGCCUCUAAGCAUCAGGUAACAUCAAAUCGUACCCCAAACCGACACAGGUGGUCAGGUAGAGAAUACCAAGGCGCUUGAGAGAACUCGGGUGAAGGAACUAGGCAAAAUGGUGCCGUAACUUCGGGAGAAGGCACGCUGAUAUGUAGGUGAAGCGACUUGCUCGUGGAGCUGAAAUCAGUCGAAGAUACCAGCUGGCUGCAACUGUUUAUUAAAAACACAGCACUGUGCAAACACGAAAGUGGACGUAUACGGUGUGACGCCUGCCCGGUGCCGGAAGGUUAAUUGAUGGGGUUAGCGGUAACGCGAAGCUCUUGAUCGAAGCCCCGGUAAACGGCGGCCGUAACUAUAACGGUCCUAAGGUAGCGAAAUUCCUUGUCGGGUAAGUUCCGACCUGCACGAAUGGCGUAAUGAUGGCCAGGCUGUCUCCACCCGAGACUCAGUGAAAUUGAACUCGCUGUGAAGAUGCAGUGUACCCGCGGCAAGACGGAAAGACCCCGUGAACCUUUACUAUAGCUUGACACUGAACAUUGAGCCUUGAUGUGUAGGAUAGGUGGGAGGCUUUGAAGUGUGGACGCCAGUCUGCAUGGAGCCGACCUUGAAAUACCACCCUUUAAUGUUUGAUGUUCUAACGUUGGCCCCUAAUCGGGGUUGCGGACAGUGUCUGGUGGGUAGUUUGACUGGGGCGGUCUCCUCCUAAAGAGUAACGGAGGAGCACGAAGGUUGGCUAAUCCUGGUCGGACAUCAGGAGGUUAGUGCAAUGGCAUAAGCCAGCUUGACUGCGAGCGUGACGGCGCGAGCAGGUGCGAAAGCAGGUCAUAGUGAUCCGGUGGUUCUGAAUGGAAGGGCCAUCGCUCAACGGAUAAAAGGUACUCCGGGGAUAACAGGCUGAUACCGCCCAAGAGUUCAUAUCGACGGCGGUGUUUGGCACCUCGAUGUCGGCUCAUCACAUCCUGGGGCUGAAGUAGGUCCCAAGGGUAUGGCUGUUCGCCAUUUAAAGUGGUACGCGAGCUGGGUUUAGAACGUCGUGAGACAGUUCGGUCCCUAUCUGCCGUGGGCGCUGGAGAACUGAGGGGGGCUGCUCCUAGUACGAGAGGACCGGAGUGGACGUAUCACUGGUGUUCGGGUUGUCAUGCCAAUGGCACUGCCCGGUAGCUAAAUGCGGAAGAGAUAAGUGCUGAAAGCAUCUAAGCACGAAACUUGCCCCGAGAUGAGUUCUCCCUGAGACUUAGAGUCUCCUGAAGGAACGUUGAAGACGACGACGUUGAUAGGCCGGGUGUGUAAGCGCAGCGAUGCGUUGAGCUAACCGGUACUAAUGAACCGUGAGGCUUAACCUU
RNAcentral lists this ribosomal RNA (2902 nucleotides) under Escherichia coli KTE8. RNAcentral describes it as "bacterial LSU rRNA". It matches the Rfam family "Bacterial large subunit ribosomal RNA". The record is from RNAcentral. RNAcentral also lists the same sequence under 7 other names. Lineage: Bacteria; Pseudomonadati; Pseudomonadota; Gammaproteobacteria; Enterobacterales; Enterobacteriaceae.